RNAcentral lists this ribosomal RNA (253 nucleotides) under uncultured bacterium. Its description in RNAcentral is "partial 16S ribosomal RNA". It matches the Rfam family "Bacterial small subunit ribosomal RNA", at positions 524 to 776 of the family's 1533-position model. The record is from RNAcentral.
UACGAAGGGGGCUAGCGUUGUUCGGAAUUACUGGGCGUAAAGCGCACGUAGGCGGGUCUGUAAGUAGGGGGUGAAAUCCCAGGGCUCAACCCUGGAACUGCCUUCUAGACUGCAGGCCUUGAGGUCAGGAGAGGCGAGUGGAAUACCGAGUGUAGAGGUGAAAUUCGUAGAUAUUCGGUGGAACACCAGUGGCGAAGGCGACUCGCUGGACUGAUACUGACGCUGAGGUGCGAAAGCGUGGGGAGCAAACAGG